Molecule: transfer RNA, 23 nt
Filed under: Handroanthus guayacan
Lineage: Eukaryota; Viridiplantae; Streptophyta; Magnoliopsida; Lamiales; Bignoniaceae
Also listed under: 6 other names
Description: partial tRNA-His
Source: RNAcentral
GCGGAUGUAGCCAAGUGGAUCAA